This 510-nucleotide ribosomal RNA is filed under the name uncultured bacterium. RNAcentral describes it as "partial 16S ribosomal RNA". It matches the Rfam family "Bacterial small subunit ribosomal RNA", at positions 28 to 507 of the family's 1533-position model. The record is from RNAcentral.
GACGAACGCUGGCGGCGUGCUUAACACAUGCAAGUCGAACGAAGAGCGAUGGAAGCUUGCUUCUAUCAAUCUUAGUGGCGAACGGGUGAGUAACGCGUAAUCAACCUGCCCUUCAGAGGGGGACAACAGUUGGAAACGACUGCUAAUACCGCAUACGAUCUAACCUCGGCAUCGAGGAUAGAUGAAAGGUGGCCUCUACAUGUAAGCUAUCACUGAAGGAGGGGAUUGCGUCUGAUUAGCUAGUUGGAGGGGUAACGGCCCACCAAGGCGAUGAUCAGUAGCCGGUCUGAGAGGAUGAACGGCCACAUUGGGACUGAGACACGGCCCAGACUCCUACGGGAGGCAGCAGUGGGGAAUCUUCCGCAAUGGACGAAAGUCUGACGGAGCAACGCCGCGGGAGUGAUGACGGCCUUCGGGUUGUAAAGCUCUGUUAAUCGGGACGAAAGGCCUUCUUGCGAAUAGGGAGAAGGAUUGACGGUACCGGAAUAGAAAGCCACGGCUAACUACGUG